Molecule: ribosomal RNA, 630 nt
Filed under: Lacticaseibacillus casei
Lineage: Bacteria; Bacillati; Bacillota; Bacilli; Lactobacillales; Lactobacillaceae
Description: bacterial SSU rRNA
Rfam family: Bacterial small subunit ribosomal RNA
Source: RNAcentral
GGCUCAGGAUGAACGCUGGCGGCGUGCCUAAUACAUGCAAGUCGAACGAGUUCUCGUUGAUGAUCGGUGCUUGCACCGAGAUUCAACAUGGAACGAGUGGCGGACGGGUGAGUAACACGUGGGUAACCUGCCCUUAAGUGGGGGAUAACAUUUGGAAACAGAUGCUAAUACCGCAUAGAUCCAAGAACCGCAUGGUUCUUGGCUGAAAGAUGGCGUAAGCUAUCGCUUUUGGAUGGACCCGCGGCGUAUUAGCUAGUUGGUGAGGUAAUGGCUCACCAAGGCGAUGAUACGUAGCCGAACUGAGAGGUUGAUCGGCCACAUUGGGACUGAGACACGGCCCAAACUCCUACGGGAGGCAGCAGUAGGGAAUCUUCCACAAUGGACGCAAGUCUGAUGGAGCAACGCCGCGUGAGUGAAGAAGGCUUUCGGGUCGUAAAACUCUGUUGUUGGAGAAGAAUGGUCGGCAGAGUAACUGUUGUCGGCGUGACGGUAUCCAACCAGAAAGCCACGGCUAACUACGUGCCAGCAGCCGCGGUAAUACGUAGGUGGCAAGCGUUAUCCGGAUUUAUUGGGCGUAAAGCGAGCGCAGGCGGUUUUUUAAGUCUGAUGUGAAAGCCCUCGGCUUAACCG